RNAcentral lists this ribosomal RNA (497 nucleotides) under uncultured bacterium. RNAcentral's name for it is "partial 16S ribosomal RNA". It matches the Rfam family "Bacterial small subunit ribosomal RNA", at positions 28 to 507 of the family's 1533-position model. The record is from RNAcentral.
GAUGAACGCUGGCGGCGUGCCUAAUACAUGCAAGUCGAGCGAACAGACGAGGAGCUUGCUCCUCUGACGUUAGCGGCGGACGGGUGAGUAACACGUGGAUAACCUACCUAUAAGACUGGGAUAACUUCGGGAAACCGGAGCUAAUACCGGAUAAUAUAUUGAACCGCAUGGUUCAAUAGUGAAAGACGCUUUUGCUGUCACUUAUAGAUGGCUCCGCGCCGCAUUAGCUAGUUGGUAAGGUAACGGCUUACCAAGGCAACGAUGCGUAGCCGACCUGAGCGGGUGAUCGGCCACACUGGAACUGAGACACGGUCCAGACUCCUGCGGGAGGCAGCGGUAGGGAAUCUUCCGCAAGGGGCGAGAGCCUGACGGAGCAACGCCGCGUGAGUGAUGAAGGUCUUCGGAUCGUAAAACUCUGUUAUUAGGGAAGAACAAAUGUGUAAGUAACUAUGCACGUCUUGACGGUACCUAAACAGAAAGCCACGGCUAACUACGUG